CCCUUAGAUGUCCGGGGCCGCACGCGCGCUACACUGAAGGAAUCAGCGUGGCUUUCUCCCUGACCCGAAAGGGUUGGGAAACCCGUUGAAUCUCCUUCGUGAUAGGGAUUGGGGCUUGAAAUUGUUCCCCAUGAACGAGGAAUUCCCAGUAAGCGCGAGUCAUAAGCUCGCGUUGAUUACGUCCCUGCCCUUUGUACACACCGCCCGUCGCUACUACCGAUUGAACGGUUUAGUGAGGGCCUCGGAUUGGUCUCGGCCCGCUCUUUACCGGGCGGCGCCGUUGGUCGAGAAGUCGCUCGAACUUGAUCGUUUAGAGGAAGUAAAAGUCGUAACA
Molecule: ribosomal RNA, 334 nt
Filed under: uncultured eukaryote
Lineage: Eukaryota
Description: partial 18S ribosomal RNA
Rfam family: Eukaryotic small subunit ribosomal RNA
Source: RNAcentral